Molecule: ribosomal RNA, 305 nt
Filed under: uncultured soil bacterium
Lineage: Bacteria
Description: bacterial SSU rRNA
Rfam family: Bacterial small subunit ribosomal RNA
Source: RNAcentral
AGAUUGAACGCUGGCGGCAGGCCUAACACAUGCAAGUCGAGCGGUAGAGAGGUGCUUGCAUCUCUUGAGAGCGGCGGACGGGUGAGUAAUGCCUAGGAAUCUGCCUAGUGGGUGGGGGAUAACGUUCGGAAACGGACGCUAAUACCGCAUACGUCCUACGGGAGAAAGGCGGGGGACCUUCGGGCCUCGCGCCAUUAGAUGAGCCUAGGGUCGGAUUAGCUAGUUGGUGAGGUAAUGGCUCACCAAGGCGACGAUCCGUAACUGGUCUGAGAGGAUGAUCAGUCACACUGGAACUGAGACACGGU